This 393-nucleotide ribosomal RNA is filed under the name Triticum aestivum (bread wheat). RNAcentral describes it as "partial small subunit ribosomal RNA". The record is from RNAcentral. Lineage: Eukaryota; Viridiplantae; Streptophyta; Magnoliopsida; Poales; Poaceae.
AUGAUCAGCACCAGGAAGGAUAGAUCUAUUGCAGCUUUCAUCCAGGAGUUAAACCAGCACAUUCGAUGCCACGAGAACCGGAUGUGCAUAGGCAUGAUAGAUCUGAAGAAGGCAAUGACCAGGAUCAUGGAGCUGGAAGAAGAACUCAAGACUACACGCGAUGGAUAUGAGGAGGAAAUGACGAUACUCGUGGAGAAGAAUGAUGAUCUGAAGAAGAAGCUAGCAAUAUUCAUGGGAGACCCCGCGCCAGGAGGAGAUGAUGACGAUUCCACUUCCCCGGAGAACUACAUCAUCAUCGACGACACCGACUCGGACCCCGAUAAUAGUGAUGAUGACUAUGUUGAUGAAGCUGGAGUAGAUAUCAUGGAGUCUUCCACCGAUCAAUUUUUCUAG